AGCUCCAGCUCUGUUUUGAUCCGUCUGAGGCUGUCAGGCUGCGUUUUUCCUAUGAUCCGUUUUCAAGGCAACCAUGGAGCCGGUGGUGGGGAAAUUGGAAUAGGGCAAGUUAAAACCCCACAAAUCUCACUGUUCUUACCAAGGUUUAGCCAUUUAUUGUGAAUAAAAGCUUCCCAGAUGACUGCAAGCCUUUGGUUAACUUUGUGAGUUUUGGCACAGUUGGUUUUGACAAUUUACUGCCAGUUUUUUUUGGAAGAGAGAAUUUUUGGAUGUAUCCCCCAUUACCAGUUCGAUUUCUGUUCUGGAAGAGCACCCUGGCCCCAGAGUGUAGAAGACACGGAGGUCUGGGGAAAUGCUGGGUUCAGGAAGCUGAGUCGGGGGUGUUGUCGUCGACAGGUGACAGAUGCUAGACACCUGUGCUGAGGUGUGGCUCUUGAGGAUCAUUCGCAUAAUGACGCCUAUGUAUUGAGUGAUUAGUUUGCUGAGUUCUGUGCUCAGUACUUUACAUACUUUUUUGUACAUCAUCAUACCUGUUUUAGAGAUGAUAAAACUACAUUUAGAAAAGUUCAAUACCUUGCCCAAGGUCGCCCAGCUAAAGCGGGGUUAGAGCAAGUUUUUGAAUCUUUAUUAGUCUGAACUAAAAAUCCUUGCUCAUGGGGUCUCCUGUGCGGCGCAGCAGGAUUGGUGGCAUCUUGGGUGCUUCCCUGGCUCAGCACAGUGGGUUAAGGAUCCGGCACCGCCUCACCUUAGGUCGCAGCUAUGGCUUGGACCUGAUCCCUGGCCCUGGAAGUCCAUACGCCACAGGGCGGCCAAAAAAGAAAGAAAAAAAAAACCCUUGCUCACAAUCACUACCCUAUAUGUCUAGAAGCAGGCUCCGUGACUUCAUUAGGAAGAGAACUUCGUUCAGGAAAUAUUUUUGGUGUUGAUCUGUGUGCCAGGUGCUGUUGCCAGGGUCAGGGAUAUAGCUGUGCACAGGACAGGAGAAAACAUCCCUGUUCUCAGGGAGCUUACAUUCCAGUGGGUGGAGGCAAUAAACAAGAUGUAUCCGCAAACUUUGUUUUAUGUUGGGUAGGGAUUGAGUGUUGAAAUAAAGCACAGUGAGGAGAGGAAAGAGAGGGCCUUGCUGGAAAGUAAUGCUCGAGUCAGGAUCUGAAGCUGGGAGGAGAACCAUGUGGGUAUCUAGGUGAAAAGCAUUGUAGACAGAGGAAAGGGCAAGGGCAGGGGUCCGAGGAGGAAUGGGUCUGGCUCGUGUGAGGAGCAGCGAGGGCCGGUGGGGGUGGGGUGGAGCCGAGUGGACUGGAAGGAGGAAGGUGACAAGGUCAGAGGGCUCAUGACGGUCCAGAGGCAUGGACCUCACAGGCCACCCACCAAGUGUGACUUGGAGGAAUCCUUGGAUUGAUUACAGGGAGACGAGGCCAGAAACCAGGCGGCCAGGCGGGAAGUCUGCAGUGACCUAGGAGAGAGGAGGCGGUGGCUUGGACCAGGGUGGCUGCCGUGGGAAGGGGAGGAGUCAUCAGCUUCUGCCUCCUCCCUCUUCUGAGGGUCAGGCUUCCCGGAUUUACUUAUUUCCCUGGAGGUGGGGAGAGAGAAGGAACGUCGUCAAGAGUGACUCCAAGUCCUGGGACCUCAGUAACUGGCAGGAUGGAGUUUCCCUUGCUGAGAGGAGGACGAGUGGGGGGCCGAGGUUUGGGGAGUCAGAGCAGGUGCCGGGUCUGGCAGUGUCUGUUGAGUUACCUGUUCCGUGUUCUUCUGGAGCUUUCCAGCGGAGAGUCUUAGGAGCAGGUCUGGUGUUCAGGGAGGGCACGGAGCCUGGGUGGGCACCGUGGACAAGAGGACCAAGAAAUGGCCAUUCAUAGAGCCUAGUGGUGAAAGGGGUAGGGGAGAAAAAUCUCAGGCGCAAAUACUCAAAAAGCAUAUAGCCCUUUGUAUCUCCCCAGCUUCAUCUCACACCUUGUCCACCUCUACAGAGGCACCCCUCCCUCUGCAGGAGUCACAUUGAUGACCUUGAAUUAUAAAAAGAAAUAAAGUGAUAGAGCAAGAAGCAUGGGACACUGUCUAGUGCCCUUCUAAGCCGGCUCUGUGCCCUGUACUGACUCAUAGGCCAGCUCACCAAACGGGUACCUGCCGAGAGGGCAGGGAAGCCUGGCAUUAAUUCUGAAAAGACUUCUACACAAAUAUGUUCAACUUGACAUAAAUCAGCAUUUGAAAUUUGAACAGAGGGAAAGCCUCUUUUUGGUGAAAUGCAUUCAGGUGGACUCGCUCUUUGCCCAGGGAUGUUGGGACAGAUGAGACUUCACUGUGAAAGGCAAGUUGGGAAGAGUCGGGAAGCAGCGGAAGGCACUGGGACAGAUCCUCCUCCAAGGUCAGUGGCAUCCAUCACUCAGAGCCCUCCCCAGGCGGAAAAUGGACGUGCUUUGCUAGAGAGAGUUCAUAUUCCCCACUUGCAUUAAUCUCCUUUUCUAGGGAGCUUGCCAGGCGCCUAGGAAGACACACUUCACGUCGGAUGUAAAUGAGCGCUCUCUGUUCAUGGUCUUCCCAGGGACUGGCCCGCUGCUUCUCCAUACGGGCACCAUCUCGAACCAUCUUUUCAUUCGGUUGCCACAUACGGUUGGCUCAACCCAACUAAUCUUUUCUCUGUCGCGUCUCGUUGCUGCAAUCUGUGGUUCCAGCUUUUAGAGACUUAAUAAACGGAUGUGUUUUCCAGCCCCGAGGAAUGAAAUGAAGAUUGUCACUUGGCGGUGUUCUCCGCCAUCAUGUUUUUGUUGCCGUCGUAGAAAUGGAGCAGAAAAUUACGGCAGCUCCUUUAUUGCCCAACUGCCCGCGCCAUUUCCAGUCCUUGGGAAGGAAAUCAAUUGUUUCUGCAAAUUUCCUGCAGACAUUUGGUUAUUAUCUGUUGAAAUCCUCUGACCAAGCCUUAGUUCUGGGACAGAGAAAGAAACCACUUUUCUCGUCUCUGUGAAAAAUCAACUGCUACGGAAUCCUUUCAUUGUGUCUCUGCUGCUCACUCUGUCACAGGACAUUAAUGAAAGAGAGAUGCUUCUUUGUCAUGCAGCUUGACACUUUGUUCGAAACUUAUUUCUCGACUAUUCCUAAGCUUAACUCUGGACCAAACGCAGUGCUUACAACACUCAGAUAAGGAAACGUUUAAUCCCACUUUCUCGAUGAGACAACUGAGGCCAAAGAACUUAGAUAUGUCGCUUAAAGCCGGUGAGUUUUCUUCACAACAGUGUCCACUGCCCCUCCUGAGGUCCGUAUCACCUCCCAGGAAGAAUUUAUUUUUCACACUUUGGCAUUUUUCAUCUGCCAAGGGUAUAGACUGAAUAAUUAGGGAUGGAUUUUGAUACUGCUCAUAGCUGUCAACUUACUUAGCUGGGCAAGUCACUGACCAGCGAUGGCUUCAGUCCUGGGAGGCGCUGGCACAGGGGUGUCCCCAGCCACGUGUGGAGAAGAGGCACAGGCGGAAGACUGGGCAGGUGCUAGUCUGGGGCUGGUGGGAGAGUUAUUUCCUGAUCCAGCUUCUGCUGCUUCCAAAGGACUCAGAAUGCGGCAGCCUGGGAGGAAUGAGGCUGGGAGCUGGGGGAGCUGGGGCACCAAAGAGGGGCGGGUUCCCUGCGGACUGGAGAGGCUUCCAAUCUCCCGCCAGCACCUGGGGGCCUCAAACCGCAGAAACUCAAAUUCCCACAGUUCUGAAGGCUGAAGUCCAAGGGCAAGGUGUGGCAGGGCUGCUUUCCUCUGCGGCGUCUCGCCCCCUGUCCUCACAGGUCCCCUCCUCUGCCUGUUAGUGAUAAAUUUCCUCUUCUGAUCAGGACACUGGUCAUAGUGGAUCGGGGCCCACCCUAAUGACCUCAUGUUAACUUACCACUUGAAAUACCCCAUAUCCAAACGCAGUCACAUGCCGAGGAGCUGGGGUUAGAUUUCAACCUGUGAACUUGGGGGGCAUGCAGUUCCGCCCGUAACACCAAUUUUCAAUGGUUUUUCAGAUUCCUUUUUAAUGUGCCCCACAAGAGGGGGAAAACCCCAUUUUGAGCGCAAACACCCAAUGAAUCUACUUAUUUAUAAAUCAUAUUCUCCUGGACUAAUAUAUUUUGCACACUGGAAAGCAUACCCGUACAUAGACAAUUUAACGGGCAGACAAGAUGGAAAUAGAUGUUCUGUUUUGGGUCCCCUGGGACGGAGACCCCCUGGUCCUCAAAGGGGGACCAUUGCCUUUGGGGGGACCGAGUCUGGAUCUCCAGAUUGACACACUUAUUCCUUAGCUUUGAACACCUUCUGUAAGAUCCCAGCCACGGCUCCCGUCACCCUCUCUCUCUCGAAGGAAACGUGCCCUCCCUCCGGACCCGUCUCGUGUCAGUGUGUAGUUACCUCAGCAAUGGAAUUGCCUCCAGUUCCAAGUCCCAAGGGCACGCAUCCAUCCCCCCGCAGGCUCACCACCCCUGUGUUCCAUUCGCCCCCCCCCCCCAACCGUUUUCUAUUUGAUUGAGUUUACAUUCUUCCCGGCUCCUCACCGAGGCUGUGAACGCCCAGGGGGACAGGUUCGUCUUCGACUCUGUUUUCCUCGUGCCCAGCGUGGUGCUGGGGAGCAGCAGGGGCUUCCCAGAUUGCUGACGUCCUGGCUUUUCUACUUCAUCACAAGGCAAAACAGAAAAUUAACAACUCACUAUCGCUUUAGAGGUUAAAAAUUCAAGCCUUGCAAUUAAGCCAAAGAUAGAUAUGACUAUCUAUCACAAUAAAAAAUGAAUAGCCCUCUGAAUUGCCCUUGUAGAGAGGCCUCUGGGAGUAAAAAGACAUACAGGUCAAUACGUUUGACCGCUGUUGGUGUUCCCAGUGUGCAGGGCUCAGGGCUGCAGGCAAGGUGGUAUCCAGCCGCAACCUCAGCUCAGAGCUGCUGCAGGUGAAUUGACCUGUAAUGUUGCCUGAACUGUCAGCAGAAAAGCAAAGACAAGAUGUGAAAGUUAUCCUAAGGGGGAGGUCCAAGGACCAUGGCGAAGAGGCUGCCACAGUCCUGCCCACGGAGGAGAGGAAAAGCCUUGUUAGCGAGUGUCUGUUACGUGCCAGACACUGCUUAGCUUUCCCUGCCUGAGCUCCUUCAAUCCUCCAACACCACCAAGUAGGAAACAUCCGUGCUUCGCAGAUGCUGUUACUUCGAGACGUGAGGUAGUCGUCCCAGUAUCACAGAGCUAGGAGGGGAGUGGAGGAGCCGGAUUUGAACCCGGGGCUGUCUGACGGGGGGAGACGGUGGCUUCAUCUAUCAUCCUGCUGGGACCGGUGGAUCCCAGGCGCUUCCCCAUCUUCCAGCAUCUUUCCUUGACUCUCUCACCUCUUCUAGGCAGUGCCUCUGCCCUAUUCCCCGGUGGCGCUCUCUUCUGAUCAAGGCGGGCUGGCUGGACAAAGGCGGUAAUUACUGACCGAGGACCAGCCCCCCUCUCUGGCGAUCGACGUCCAUUCAGACUCGGGUCUCGAGGGGACCGUGUCGGACCCAGGAUGGAGAGAGAACCAAGGGCGGGCAGGCCUGUAGGACCUUGCCAGAUCAUGUCAGGCUGGCAGCCGUCUCUCCUGGGCCGUAUGGAGGCAUGGUGGGUUUUGUGUGGCUUUUGUCUGGGUUUAGUCCCAACCUCAGUGGGAGACGAACGAUGGGCUAUUAGACACCCUUACCUUAGGCUAUGAUGGACAGAACACCAACACGCCUAAGAACAGACUCUAUCUGUUGCUUAAUUAGAAGGAGGAGGCGUGAGUUCUGCUUUAAAGAAGAGCCUCUCAGAGUUCCCCUUGUGGCUCAUGGAACCCGACUAGUAUCCAUGAGGACGCAGGUUCGAUCCCUGGCCUCGCUCAGUGGGUUAAGGAUCCGCUGUUGCUGCGAGUGGUAGUGUAGGUCGAAGAUGUGGCUUGGAUUCAGCAUUGCUGUGGUUGUGGUGUAGGCAGGCAGCUGCAGCCCCCAUUCAACCCCUAGCCUGGGAGCUUCCUACAUCACAGGUGUAGCCAUAAGAAAAAAAGAGAGCGAGAGAAGAGUCUUUCUCGUGGUGCUGGCCUUCCCUUCCUGGGUCACCUGGGAUUUGAGGUCGGUUGUGCUCUUGAGUAUGUUCUUAGUGAACUUAGUUCACUGGCCGGAGACUUUCCCUUGAGGUUUCUUUGCCAAUGGACCCGGCUUCUAGGGCCGAGUGGCUGGUGGGGCUUUGUGGGCUAAGGGAGAGCUCCCGGUAGGCCUCAUCAAAACUGCACACCUUGUCACCAGAGGGGGCUCUGGGCAUUUUGACACUGUCUGAAACCUGCCCUCUAGUCUUUCCAAGUCAAGGGGACAUCAUCUCUCCACUCUUUGGAGCCCCAUUCACCCUUGAAAAAACGGAUCAAAUUUUCAACUUGACAAUAAGUGCCAGGCAAAUGCCUUCAUGGGUGCAGAACCCCCGCCCCCGCAGGCUCAGUGAUGGACAGUGGGGGACACAGACUCUAAAACCGAAAAACAUCCCAAGAAAUAGCAACAACAACAACAACAACAACAAAAACAGACAAAAAAAAGGAGUUGCCGUGGCGCAGUGGUAAACGAAUCCGACUAGGAACCGUGAGGUUGCGGGUUCGGUCCCUGCCCUUGCUCAGUGGGUUAACGAUCCGGCGUUGCUGUGAGCUGUGGUGUAGGUUGCAGACGCGGCUCGGCUCCCGCGUUGCUGUGGCUCUGGUGUAGACUGGUGGCUACAGCUUCGACUGGACCCCUAGCCUGGGAACCUCCAUAUGCUGCAGGAGCGGCCCAAGAAAUAGCAACAACAACAACAAC
Molecule: long non-coding RNA, 6763 nt
Filed under: Sus scrofa (pig)
Lineage: Eukaryota; Metazoa; Chordata; Mammalia; Artiodactyla; Suidae
Description: lncRNA (ENSSSCG00035042358.1)
Source: RNAcentral